Molecule: ribosomal RNA, 422 nt
Filed under: uncultured bacterium
Lineage: Bacteria
Description: bacterial SSU rRNA
Rfam family: Bacterial small subunit ribosomal RNA
Source: RNAcentral
GGAAUCUUGCACAAUGGGCGAAAGCCUGACGACGCAACGCCGCGUGGAGGAUGAAGAAUUUCGGUUCGUAAACUCCUUUCGACCGAGAUGAAUAUCCUGCGAUUUAAUACGUCGCGGGACUGACAGUAUCGAGAGAAGAAGCCCCGGCUAACUCUGUGCCAGCAGCCGCGGUAAUACAGGGGGGGCAAGCGUUGUUCGGAAUUACUGGGCGUAAAGGGUGCGUAGGUGGCCAACUAAGUCAGACGUGAAAUCCCUCAGCUUAACUGGGGAACUGCGUCUGAUACUGGUUGGCUUGAGUGCAGGAGAGGAAUGCGGAAUUCCAGGUGUAGCGGUGAAAUGCGUAGAUAUCUGGAGGAACACCGGUGGCGAAGGCGGCAUUCUGGACUGUAACUGACACUGAGGAACGAAAGCCAGGGGAGCAA